This 458-nucleotide ribosomal RNA is filed under the name uncultured bacterium. Its description in RNAcentral is "partial 16S ribosomal RNA". It matches the Rfam family "Bacterial small subunit ribosomal RNA", at positions 28 to 507 of the family's 1533-position model. The record is from RNAcentral.
GACGAACGCUGGCGGCGUGCUUCAUACAUGCAAGUCGAACGAGAAGCUGCCUCCUGUCAGUUGCUCGUGGCGCGCGCGUGUGUAAUAUGUAGGAAAUCUGCCCUCAGCAGGCUGACAACAGCGGGAAACUUCUGCUAAUACCCCAUAUAUGCGUGACUGUCAUGCUGUUCUUGAAAACGACGGUGCCGAAAGAUGAGCCUGCAUCUGAUUAGCUAGUUGGUUGUGUAAUUGACUACCAAGGGGAGGAUCAGUAGCUGGCGUGCGAGGAUGAGCAGCCAGGAGGGGAGAGAGACACGGGCCAUACUCCGACGGGAGGCAGCAGGAGGGAAGUUUGCGGAAGGGGAGAAAGCCUGAGGGAGCAACGGCGCGGGAAGGAGGAAGCCGGGCGGGGUGCAAAGUUCUGUAAGGAGGGACGAAACGUGACGGUACCCAGAGAGGAAGCACCGGCUAACUCCGUG